UACGGAGGGUGCAAGCAUUGAUCGGAAUUACUGGGCGUAAGGGGCGCGUAGGCGGCUAGAAAAGUCAGAUGUGAAAUUCCGGGGCUCAACCCCGGAGCUGCAUUUGAAACUCUCUAGCUAGAGUGCAGUUAGGGUAAACGGAGUUCCACGUGUAGCGGUGAAAUGCGUAGAUAUGUGGAAGAACACCGGUGGUGAAGACGGUUUACUGGGCUGUAACAGACGCUGAGGCGCGAAAGCAUGGGGAGCAAAC
This 250-nucleotide ribosomal RNA is filed under the name uncultured bacterium. Its description in RNAcentral is "partial 16S ribosomal RNA". It matches the Rfam family "Bacterial small subunit ribosomal RNA", at positions 524 to 773 of the family's 1533-position model. The record is from RNAcentral.